AUUGCUUCUCGGCCUUUUGGCUAAGAUCAAGUGUAGUAUGAAUUUCAUUCAUUAUUUCUCAGUACAAAGUUUAUUGUCUUCUCAAAAAUUCUUUUUUGGGGGCGGGGGAUGUAGUUUCAGGCCACACCUGGCAAUGCUCAGGGAUUACUCCUGGCUCUGAAGUUGAAACUCAC
RNAcentral lists this small nuclear RNA (173 nucleotides) under Sorex araneus (European shrew). RNAcentral's name for it is "U2 spliceosomal RNA (ENSSARG00000019427.1)". It matches the Rfam family "U2 spliceosomal RNA". From Rfam's summary of the family: U2 is a small nuclear RNA (snRNA) component of the spliceosome (involved in pre-mRNA splicing). Complementary binding between U2 snRNA (in an area lying towards the 5' end but 3' to hairpin I) and the branchpoint sequence (BPS) of the intron results the bulging out of an unpaired adenosine, on the BPS, which initiates a nucleophilic attack at the intronic 5' splice site, thus starting the first of two transesterification reactions that mediate splicing. Lineage: Eukaryota; Metazoa; Chordata; Mammalia; Eulipotyphla; Soricidae. The record is from RNAcentral.